Long non-coding RNA from Anthonomus grandis grandis, 682 nucleotides. RefSeq lists it as uncharacterized. NCBI's taxonomy places the organism in Eukaryota, Metazoa, Arthropoda, Insecta, Coleoptera, Curculionidae. The record is from RefSeq and is a predicted model, not a curated record. The transcript has 2 exons.
UAUUAAGGGGGAAACGUCAUGAUAAACGUAGAAUAAUAAAAACUUAUUAAGAAAUCUAAAAACGCGUCAAAAUAUGGGCAAUUAAUGACUUACAUUAAUGUUUCUAGAAUGUCAAUUUUGACGUGUAAAAGAAGUCGUCAAAUUACGUGAGUCAAUUACUUAAUUGCCAAUAAAAUAAUUUAAAACCAUGUUUCCAGUUUAGAAUUUCCAAGUAUAGAAUUCCGGUAUAGAAGACCCGCUUUCUAUACCGGCAUGGCGUUCGGUGUUGCCAAAUUAGAUAUUUUCUAGCUUGAUCCAGUGGAUUUUGUUUCGAUUUAGGGGUCGAGUGACGUGUGGCGUGAGGUGGUAAAAUUGCUCCUCCUGCAGAGUUCGUAAAGCUUGUUUGUGCAUCUGUUACCGGUCUUCUAGGAUGCUUCCGAAUCCCUCUUCGCGCUCUGGCUUUGGCAGCAAAAUAUAUACGUAUAUAUACAAACACCAUGAUGCAAGAAGGAAUGUAGAAGGAGCCAAGCGCGGAGUAAAGAACAUAUCCCAGUUCUUCACUUAACUAUAAAAAAAGACAAAAUAUUAGAUAAAACAUAGUUGGAAACAAUGCAAAAAAAUCUUCUCUGAUUUACUAAUAACUUUAUGUCCUAGUAAUCUAAGAAUUAUAUAUUUUGAAAAAUAGUGUUUUAGUAUUUCUUAA